Molecule: small nuclear RNA, 117 nt
Filed under: Corchorus capsularis
Lineage: Eukaryota; Viridiplantae; Streptophyta; Magnoliopsida; Malvales; Malvaceae
Description: snRNA U2
Rfam family: U2 spliceosomal RNA
About the family: U2 is a small nuclear RNA (snRNA) component of the spliceosome (involved in pre-mRNA splicing). Complementary binding between U2 snRNA (in an area lying towards the 5' end but 3' to hairpin I) and the branchpoint sequence (BPS) of the intron results the bulging out of an unpaired adenosine, on the BPS, which initiates a nucleophilic attack at the intronic 5' splice site, thus starting the first of two transesterification reactions that mediate splicing.
Source: Rfam by way of RNAcentral
AUACGUUUCUCGGCCUUUUGGCUAAGAUCAAGUAUAUCUAUUCUUAUCAGUGUAAUAUCACCUCGGUAAACUUAUGUGUUUGCCUUGAUAUUAAUUUUUAAAGGGGAAGGACCUAUG